AUGGGAGAGAAGGGGCUGGUCGCUGAUUGGCUGGGCACACGACGGGGGAGAAGAACGUGUCCGAUCCCUCCAGCACAGGAGACCCAACACACGGGCCAGCCCCAGGGGAGAACCCAGCAGCGUCCCGCGCCCUGGGCUGUCAGGGAGCGCAGGGAUGGGGAGACUAUGGGGGCUGUCCUGGGUGAUCCAGCUAAUGCACGUGUGGGUGGCCAGUGGGCAGCUCUCAGUGGAGCAGAGCCCGGAAUGGCGGGGUGUCUCCGAGGGGCAGAAUGGCACCGUGACCUGCACUUACUCCAGCGCCAUCAACAGUUUACACUGGUACCGGCAGGCUCCUGGGGAGCGGCCCCUUUUCCUGCUGAUGCUGCACGGCAAGAGGAGCGAGACACAAGAACCGAAUUUCACUGCGGAUCACGAUCCGGGGCAGAAGCGGAGCUCCCUGCACAUCCGCGGCUGCCAGCUGGGGGACACCGCCCGCUACCUGUGCGCCGUGGAGACACAGUGA
Non-coding RNA from Mauremys reevesii (Reeves's turtle), 502 nucleotides. The record is from the annotation of a RefSeq genome assembly. NCBI's taxonomy places the organism in Eukaryota, Metazoa, Chordata, Testudines, Geoemydidae.